AUUGAACGCUGGCGGCAGGCUUAACACAUGCAAGUCGAGCGGGGUGAUGGUGCUUGCACUAUCACUUAGCGGCGGACGGGUGAGUAAUGCUUAGGAAUCUGCCUAUUAGUGGGGGACAACAUCUCGAAAGGGAUGCUAAUACCGCAUACGUCCUACGGGAGAAAGCAGGGGAUCACUUGUGACCUUGCGCUAAUAGAUGAGCCUAAGUCGGAUUAGCUAGUUGGUGGGGUAAAGGCCUACCAAGGCGACGAUCUGUAGCGGGUCUGAGAGGAUGAUCCGCCACACUGGGACUGAGACACGGCCCAGACUCCUACGGGAGGCAGCAGUGGGGGGUAUUGGACAAUGGGGGGAGCCCUGAUCCAGCCAUGCCGCGUGUGUGAAGAAGGCCUUAUGGUUGUAAAGCACUUUAAGCGAGGAGGAGGCUCUUUUGGUUAAUACCCAAGAUGAGUGGACGUUACUCGCAGAAUAAGCACCGGCUAACUCUGUGCCAGCCGCCGCCGUAA
Molecule: ribosomal RNA, 503 nt
Filed under: uncultured bacterium
Lineage: Bacteria
Description: partial 16S ribosomal RNA
Rfam family: Bacterial small subunit ribosomal RNA
Source: RNAcentral